GACGAACGCUGGCGGCGUGCUUAACACAUGCAAGUCGAACGGAAAGGCCCUGCUUUUGUGGGGUGCUCGAGUGGCGAACGGGUGAGUAACACGUGAGUAACCUGCCCUUGACUGUGGGAUAACUUCAGGAAACUGGGGCUAAUACCGGAUAGGAGCUCCUGCGGCAGGGUGGGGGUUGGAAAGUUUUGGCGUGUGGGGUUGGCCUCGCGGCUUAUCAGCUUGUUGGGGGGGUAGUGGCUUACCAAGGCUUUGACGGGUAGCCGGCCUGGGAGGGUGACCGGCCACAUUGGGCCUGAGAUACGGCCCAGACUCCUCCGGGAGGCAGCAGUGGGGAAUAUUGCACAAUGGGCGGAAGCCUGUUGCAGCAACGCCGCGUGCGGGAUGACGGCCUUCGGGUUGUAACCCGCUUUCGCCUGUGCCGAAGCGUGAGUGACGGUAAUGGGUAAAGAAGCACCGGCUAACUACGUG
Molecule: ribosomal RNA, 468 nt
Filed under: uncultured bacterium
Lineage: Bacteria
Description: partial 16S ribosomal RNA
Rfam family: Bacterial small subunit ribosomal RNA
Source: RNAcentral